This is a long non-coding RNA of Limulus polyphemus (Atlantic horseshoe crab), 650 nucleotides long. RefSeq lists it as uncharacterized. The record is from RefSeq and is a predicted model, not a curated record. NCBI's taxonomy places the organism in Eukaryota, Metazoa, Arthropoda, Merostomata, Xiphosura, Limulidae. The transcript is spliced from 3 exons.
UAUUUUUUCGACGUCAUUAUCCCAUUUGUAGCAUCAGUUACUGUGGGUUUGAUCCAGAUAACCGAUGUUGGAGAAAGGAGAAUGUUUCAGGAGAUUUGCCUCCCACUUCUAGACGAUGCUUUGGUUUCGUAGCCAAGAAACUGCCCAGUGAUACAGAGAACCAGUGCCAUAUAUUUGCAGAGAUUGAAUCCAGUCAUCCUGCUUCAGCUAUUGUCUCAUUCCUUGAAAGUAUUAUUAAAAAUGUACCGAAGCAAGUUAAAUUUAGCGCAUGAUCAACAACAGAUGGAAAACACGUAGCGUCGUUUCCCUUCAGUAUAAACAAUACACAUCAUGAAAGAAGUAUGGACAGCUUUGGGGACUUUCUUUUGAUGUUCUAAUUCCUUUCAAAGAAAAAAUAUUUAUGACUUUUUUGUUUGUUUCCAAAAACGUUUUAUCACUUUACAUCUGUGGACGUUCACUAUCAAAUAACUCAAUGUUGUUUUUAUAGAAAUAUUAUAUAUAUAUAACUUGACAAGCCCAGUUUGUAUUUCAAUGAGGCCUUUAGUUAGAAUAAUGUUCUGAUUAAAAUAAUGAGCACAAAAAAAAGCUACGUUUAUAGUAUUCUUUUUUUUUUGUAAUAAAAUAGUUGUGUGUUCCCUAACGAUACCGUA